GAAUAUUACGAACAACAGUUUAAAAUUCAAAGACUUUGGCGGUGUCUUAUAAAUCCAGGGGAACCUGUCUCAUAACUCGAUAGUCCACGCACACCAAACCUUCUCUAGAAAUACAGCCUGUGUACUGCCGUUGUAAGCAUACCUCUAAAAGAACAAGUGUGCUACUAUGAUUAAAUUAAUUAACUCAUAUACAUCAGGUCAAAGUGCAGCUAAUAAGAAGGUGAUGAUGGGUUACAACCACAAAAAAGAAUAUCAACUAAGGAUAUAAAAAAUCUUAUGAAAGUGGACUUGGCUGUAAUUAAUAAUUAUAAAAA
RNAcentral lists this ribosomal RNA (314 nucleotides) under Begemius queenslandicus. RNAcentral's name for it is "partial 12S ribosomal RNA". Lineage: Eukaryota; Metazoa; Annelida; Clitellata; Crassiclitellata; Megascolecidae. The record is from RNAcentral.